CACCGGCGGCUCGAGUGGUGGCCACUUUUAUUGGGUCUAAGCGUCCGUAGCCGGCUUGGCAAGUCCCCUGGGAAAUCUGGCGGCUUAACCGUCAGGCGUCCAGAGGAUACUGCCAGGCUUGGGACCGGGAGAGGUGAGAGGUACCUCAGGGGUAGGGGUGAAAUCUUGUGAUCCCUGAGGGACCACCAGUGGCGAAGGCGUCUCACUAGAACGGGUCCGACGGUCAGGGACGAAAGCUGGGGGCACGAACCGG
This 253-nucleotide ribosomal RNA is filed under the name uncultured microorganism. Its description in RNAcentral is "partial 16S ribosomal RNA". It matches the Rfam family "Archaeal small subunit ribosomal RNA", at positions 474 to 727 of the family's 1478-position model. The record is from RNAcentral.